CGUCCUAUUAGCUAGUUGGUGAGGUAAUGGCUCACCAAGGCUACGAUGGGUAGGGGUUCUUAGUGGAAGGUCCCCCACACUGGCACUGAGAUACGGGCCAGACUCCUACGGGAGGCAGCAGUAGGGAAUAUUGGUCAAUGGGCGCAAGCCUGAACCAGCCAUGCCGCGUGCAGGAUGAAGGCUCUCUGAGUUGUAAACUGCUUUUGUACAGGGGCAAAAAAAUCCCUGCGGGGGUUCUUGAGAGUACUGUAAGAAUAAGCACCGGCUAAUUCCGUGCCAGCAGCCGCGGUAAUACGGGAGGUGCAAGCGUUAUCCGGUUUUAUUGGGUUUAAAGGGUGCGUAGGCGGCUUAUUAAGUCAGUUGUGAAAUCCUAGUGCUUAACGCUAGAACUGCGAUUGAUACUAUU
Molecule: ribosomal RNA, 406 nt
Filed under: Cardinium endosymbiont of Bemisia tabaci
Lineage: Bacteria; Pseudomonadati; Bacteroidota; Cytophagia; Cytophagales; Amoebophilaceae
Description: bacterial SSU rRNA
Rfam family: Bacterial small subunit ribosomal RNA
Source: RNAcentral